GACGAACGCUGGCGGCGUGCUUAACACAUGCAAGUCGAACGGAAAGGCCCUGCUUUUGUGGGGUGCUCGAGUGGCGAACGGGUGAGUAACACGUGAGUAACCUGCCCUUGCCUUUGGGAUAACUUCAGGCAACUGGGGCUAAUACCGGAUAGGAGCUCCUGCUGCAUGGUGGGGGUUGGAAAGUUUCGGCGGUUGGGGAUGGACUCGCGGCUUAUCAGCUUGUUGGGUGGGUAGUGGCUUACCAAGGCUUUGACGGGUAGCCGGCCUGGUAGGGUGACCGGCCACACUGGGACUGGGAUGCGGCACAGACUCGUAUGGGAGGGAGGAGAGGAGAAGGGUGUACAAGGGGCGGAAGCCUGAUGCAGCAACGCCGCGCGCGGGAAGACGGGCUGGGGGUUGGAAACCGAUUUCGCCUGUGACGAAGCGAGAGUGACGGUAAUGGGUAAAGAAGCACCGGCUAACUACGUG
RNAcentral lists this ribosomal RNA (468 nucleotides) under uncultured bacterium. Its description in RNAcentral is "partial 16S ribosomal RNA". It matches the Rfam family "Bacterial small subunit ribosomal RNA", at positions 28 to 507 of the family's 1533-position model. The record is from RNAcentral.